This 403-nucleotide ribosomal RNA is filed under the name uncultured bacterium. RNAcentral's name for it is "bacterial SSU rRNA". It matches the Rfam family "Bacterial small subunit ribosomal RNA", at positions 976 to 1380 of the family's 1533-position model. The record is from RNAcentral.
UGGGCUUGACAUAUACAGGACGACGGCAGAGAUGUCGUUUCCCUUGUGGCUUGUAUACAGGUGGUGCAUGGUUGUCGUCAGCUCGUGUCGUGAGAUGUUGGGUUAAGUCCCGCAACGAGCGCAACCCUUGUCUCAUGUUGCCAGCAAUUCGGUUGGGGACUCGUGAGAGACUGCCGGGGUCAACUCGGAGGAAGGUGGGGAUGACGUCAAAUCAUCAUGCCCCUUAUGUCCAGGGCUUCACACAUGCUACAAUGGCCGGUACAGAGGGCUGCGAUACUGUAAAGUGGAGCGAAUCUCUUAAAGCCGGUCUCAGUUCGGAUUGGGGUCUGCAACUCGACCCCAUGAAGUCGGAGUCGCUAGUAAUCGCAGAUCAGCAAUGCUGCGGUGAAUACGUUCCCGGGCC